RNAcentral lists this long non-coding RNA (268 nucleotides) under Dromaius novaehollandiae (emu). RNAcentral's name for it is "lncRNA (ENSDNVG00000012886.1)". Lineage: Eukaryota; Metazoa; Chordata; Aves; Casuariiformes; Dromaiidae. The record is from RNAcentral.
UCCUGUAAAGCUUUCUGCCGGGUCUGCGCUAUUGCUGGGAAGGAGAAGGCUUUUAUCCUACACUGACACAGAGAUAAAUGUUUGGAUAUUUGCUCUCAGUUACCUAAUCUGAAGUUGAACUGCACUUCACAUGUGCAUGGGACAGUCUAUAUGAGAAGGCAAAGGUUAAUGGGAAGCUUCACUCUGCUUUUGACUGCUGAGAAACAAAAUGUGCUUCCAGGAAAGAUGUAAGUAGCAAUGGGCAAUUUUAUAUUACUAAGGGGCUUUU